UACGAAGGGGGCUAGCGUUGUUCGGAUUUACUGGGCGUAAAGCGCACGUAGGCGGAUCGAUCAGUCAGGGGUGAAAUCCCAGAGCUCAACUCUGGAACUGCCUUUGAUACUGUCGAUCUGGAGUAUGGAAGAGGUGAGUGGAAUUCCGAGUGUAGAGGUGAAAUUCGUAGAUAUUCGGAGGAACGCCAGUGGCGAAGGCGGCUCACUGGUCCAUUACUGACGCUGAGGUGCGAAAGCGUGGGGAGCAAACAGG
This 253-nucleotide ribosomal RNA is filed under the name uncultured bacterium. RNAcentral describes it as "partial 16S ribosomal RNA". It matches the Rfam family "Bacterial small subunit ribosomal RNA", at positions 524 to 776 of the family's 1533-position model. The record is from RNAcentral.